Molecule: long non-coding RNA, 300 nt
Filed under: Brassica rapa (field mustard)
Lineage: Eukaryota; Viridiplantae; Streptophyta; Magnoliopsida; Brassicales; Brassicaceae
Description: long non-coding RNA (BRAP_LNC005103)
Source: RNAcentral
AAAUUGGUUGUUCAUGGUGGUUGUGGUAUUGAUAUCAAUGGCAAUCUUGUAAUUACUUGAAGAUGAUGAGGGUGAGAGAGUAAAGAUGUCAUUUUCGAACAAAAAAAAAAAAAAUUGAUGGCAUUUUCGUAAAUUAUAUGAACUUGUGGGGUGAAUAGGGCAAAACCAAUUUUCAAAAAAAAGGGAGGUUAGUUUUGUGUUUAACUUUAAGUUGUAGGUCAAUUUUGCAAAAAGCCCUAUUUGUUAAGUCUAUGUGGUUUGUAAUAAUACGUACUGUCUCAUUAUCGAAUACACAAAUUA